RNAcentral lists this ribosomal RNA (140 nucleotides) under uncultured eukaryote. Its description in RNAcentral is "partial 18S ribosomal RNA". It matches the Rfam family "Eukaryotic small subunit ribosomal RNA", at positions 1299 to 1458 of the family's 1831-position model. The record is from RNAcentral.
UGGUGGAGUGAUUUGUCUGGUUAAUUCCGUUAACGAACGAGACCUCGACCUGCUAAAUAGUGGAAGCUACUCUUUGGGUAACUUUUAACUUCUUAGAGGGACUAUCGGUUUCUAGCCGAUGGAAGUUCGAGGCAAUAACA